RNAcentral lists this ribosomal RNA (255 nucleotides) under Trichoderma sp. Its description in RNAcentral is "5.8S ribosomal RNA". The stretch from base 100 to 253 matches the Rfam family "5.8S ribosomal RNA". Rfam says of the family: 5.8S ribosomal RNA (5.8S rRNA) is a component of the large subunit of the eukaryotic ribosome. It is transcribed by RNA polymerase I as part of the 45S precursor that also contains 18S and 28S rRNA. The record is from RNAcentral. Lineage: Eukaryota; Fungi; Ascomycota; Sordariomycetes; Hypocreales; Hypocreaceae.
AAACUUUACAAACUCUUCUGUAUCGUCCCCUCGCGGAUGAAUGUCUUUUAUCUCUGAACAAUCUCGGCGCUCCUAGCGGGGUGUUCGAAAAUCAAUCAAAACUUUCAACAACGGAUCUCUUGGUUCUGGCAUCGAUGAAGAACGCAGCGAAAUGCGAUAAGUAAUGUGAAUUGCAGAAUUCAGUGAAUCAUCGAAUCUUUGAACGCACAUUGCGCCCGCCAGUAUUCUGGCGGGCAUGCCUGUCCGAGCGUCAUU